RNAcentral lists this ribosomal RNA (440 nucleotides) under uncultured bacterium. Its description in RNAcentral is "partial 16S ribosomal RNA". It matches the Rfam family "Bacterial small subunit ribosomal RNA", at positions 338 to 795 of the family's 1533-position model. The record is from RNAcentral.
CCUACGGGAGGCAGCAGUAGGGAAUAUUGCACAAUGGGGGAAACCCUGAUGCAGCGACGCCGCGUGAGUGAAGAAGUAUUUCGGUACGUAAAACUCUGUUAGCAGGGAGGAACAUACGUGUAAGUAACUAUGCACGUCCUGCGAAUUACGUACCAGCAGCCGAGGUAAUACGUCGGGGGCAAGCGUUAUCCAGAUGUACUGUGUGAAAAGGUAUCGUGGACGGUUGUGCAUGUCUGGAGUGAAAGCCCAUGGCUUAACCAUGGAAGAGAUUUGGAAACUGGACAGCUAGAGUGCAGGAGAGGUAAGCGGAAUUCCUAGUGUAGCGGUGAAAUGCGUAGAGAUUAGGAGGAACACCAGUGGCGAAGGCGGCUUACUGGACUGUAACUGACGUUGAGGUUCGAAAGCGUGGGGAGCAAACGGGAUUAGAUACCCGAGUAGUC